GGGCGCGUGGUGGAACUGGUAUACACGUACGCUUCAGAAGCGUAUUCCGCAAGGAUUGAGGGUUCGAGUCCCUCCGCGCCCA
RNAcentral lists this transfer RNA (82 nucleotides) under Patescibacteria group bacterium. RNAcentral describes it as "tRNA-Leu". It matches the Rfam family "tRNA". Rfam says of the family: Transfer RNA (tRNA) molecules are approximately 80 nucleotides in length. Their secondary structure includes four short double-helical elements and three loops (D, anti-codon, and T loops). The record is from RNAcentral.